GGCCAAGUGGCGGAAUGGCAGACGCGCUGGACUCAAAAUCCAGUGUCCGCGAGGGCGUGUGGGUUCGAGUCCCACCUUGGCCA
This 83-nucleotide transfer RNA is filed under the name Pseudomonadota bacterium. RNAcentral's name for it is "tRNA-Leu". It matches the Rfam family "tRNA". From Rfam's summary of the family: Transfer RNA (tRNA) molecules are approximately 80 nucleotides in length. RNAcentral also lists the same sequence under 1 other name. The record is from RNAcentral. Lineage: Bacteria; Pseudomonadati; Pseudomonadota.